This 201-nucleotide unclassified non-coding RNA is filed under the name Melitaea cinxia (Glanville fritillary). RNAcentral's name for it is "misc RNA ENSMCXG00005020451.1". The record is from RNAcentral. Lineage: Eukaryota; Metazoa; Arthropoda; Insecta; Lepidoptera; Nymphalidae.
AUACACUGUCAGGUAAUUGAUUGCGCAGUAGUGACUCGAAAUGAAACUAAUCGACGAUUUAUGUAUGUAAAUAUAAUCCAACAAACUAUUGCCGCAAUUAUUCCAGCAAAAUAAAUCGAAAAAUCAACACCAAAUAUAGAAGAAGAUAAAGAAAAAUAAUUGUUCCUGUACUUGUGCCAAAUAAAUUUAACCAGAAAGUUC